RNAcentral lists this ribosomal RNA (733 nucleotides) under Saskatchewan Brassica rapa phytoplasma. RNAcentral's name for it is "bacterial SSU rRNA". It matches the Rfam family "Bacterial small subunit ribosomal RNA", at positions 658 to 1399 of the family's 1533-position model. Lineage: Bacteria; Bacillati; Mycoplasmatota; Mollicutes; Acholeplasmatales; Acholeplasmataceae. The record is from RNAcentral.
CANGGGAAUUCCCAUGUGUAGUGGUAAAAAUGCGUAAAUACAUGGAGGAACACCAGUAGCGAAGGCGGCUUGCUGGGUCUUUACUGACGCUGAGGCACGAAAGCGUGGGAGCAAACAGGAUUAGAUACCCUGGUAGUCCACGCCGUAAACGAUGAGUACUAAACGUUGGGUAAAACCAGUGUUGAAGUUAACACAUUAAGUACUCCGCCUGAGUAGUACGUACGCAAGUAUGAAACUUAAAGGAAUUGACGGGACUCCGCACAAGCGGUGGAUCAUGUUGUUUAAUUCGAAGGUACCCGAGAAACCUCACCAGGUCUUGACAUGCUUCUGCAAAGCUGUAGAAACACAGUGGAGGUUAUCAGUUGCACAGGUGGUGCAUGGUUGUCGUCAGCUCGUGUCGUGAGAUGUUGGGUUAAGUCCCGCAACGAGCGCAACCCUUAUUGAUAGUUGCCAGCACGUAAUGGUGGGGACUUUAGCGAGACUGCCAGUGAUAAAUUGGAGGAAGGUGGGGACGACGUCAAAUCAUCAUGCCCCUUAUGACCUGGGCUACAAACGUGAUACAAUGGCUGUUACAAAGGGUAGCUGAAACGCAAGUUUUUGGCGAAUCUCAAAAAAACAGUCUCAGUUCGGAUUGAAGUCUGCAACUCGACUUCAUGAAGUUGGAAUCGCUAGUAAUCGCGAAUCAGCAUGUCGCGGUGAAUACGUUCUCGGGGUUUGUACACACCGCCCGUCA